UUCCCUGUAAACCAGCGGCAGCUACUCCUUCCCACAGGAUGGGUGGUUUCCAACGCCUCUUCCUGGUUCAGGUUACCACCGGGAAUUGUAUGACCUUGAACCCGCUCGUCUCCCCCCCGCCCCCCACGUUCCUUUAAGACUUAUUGCAACCUGGGGCUUUAAGCGUUAUUCAUGGAUUCACACAGUCGGCCUCAGUGUCAAAAGAAAACACUGAUGUCAGUAGAAUGUUGUGCACCGAGCCUGUAGCUGCUGAACAGAAGAGGCAGAGUGAGCUUUUAGGAGAUGUGGAGAUUCUCCCACCUGAGAGCUGACCAAUAGCUUGCCCAGUGUGUGGGUUCAGGAGGACGGCCAUGUUUUUGUCUUCAUGAUUCCACUAAUAUACUAACGUUCUCUAUUGAAAAAUAAAAAGGAGGCUUUCACAGAGCAACUUGAUUUAUACUGAGAUCUAAUUACACACAGUUGGACUCCUGGAGACUUCUGAAGGCCAAUUGGUUUCUCAGGAUUAUAAUUUUGGGAGAGCUCUCAAUUAAAGACAGAGAAAGUGACGCGCCCCUGCUGAAAAAGUCAACUUUUGGUCGUUAACGUGUGGCAUCGAGUUCAUCGCUGAAACAGGAGGGAAAACAUCAUGUGCACGGUGACGGAAGUUUGAGGUUUCGGCUUUUAUCGCCACCCAAAUCUGCUUGAUCUGUUUGGGGUUUCCUGUGUAAGUCACCAUCAUGUGCCCUAAAGAAAGGACUGCGCGCACAAACGCUCACAGACGCAAAGAGCUAAAACCCAGUUUGGCUUUAUUCUAAGUAAAGCCUUAAAGUCUUUAAACUGACACAAACGCAUUCAAGAAAAAAUGUCGGCCUUUCAGUCACCAGUUUCAGUCUCUAAACUGGGACUUCUUGACACAUUGUCACUGUGAGUCAUCGCACAACGGCACGCAAAUGGGAAAUGAUACGGCAUAUACUGAUCGCCCGGGAUCACAUGUUGCUCAUCUGUGACUGCUGCCGCAUUUCCCGGAGCCACAAAUACAGCAGCGGCUGCUCAGACGCCGACGGAAACAGCCGAUGAGGGCCAGCAGCCCCGCAAUCCUCAACUGGCUCCCGGUGAUCCGCUGCAAACCUGCUGAAGAGCCCACCUAGAUGAGGCGGAGAAGGGAAACUCCUUCCCUUCGCCUCGCUCCGUGUGGAAGCGAGAGCUCAGAGGGGAAAAUCUUGUGCCGCCAUUGUUCGCUCUCAAAAAAAAAAAAAAUGUUUAAAUGCUGCAGGGAUGAGUGUCAGCACAGAAUUCAUUUUUACAGCAAGAUUCCGAUUGACAAUUUUUUUUUUUUUUUUACACAGUUUUAAAGAGAUAUGCAUUUCUACAGGAAAUAAAAGCAAAUCUGUAU
Non-coding RNA from Poecilia reticulata (guppy), 1372 nucleotides. Lineage: Eukaryota; Metazoa; Chordata; Actinopteri; Cyprinodontiformes; Poeciliidae. The record is from RefSeq and is a predicted model, not a curated record.